CAGUCGCCGCGGUAAAACGAGGGGUGCAAGCGUUAUUCGGAUUGAUUGGGUGUAAAGGGCUCGCAGGCGGUUUCUUAAGUCUGAUGUGAAAGCCCCCGGCUCAACCGGGGAGGGUCAUUGGAAACUGGGAAACUUGAGUGCAGAAGAGGAGAGUGGAAUUCCACGUGUAGCGGUGAAAUGCGUAGAGAUGUGGAGGAACACCAGUGGCGAAGGCGACUCUCUGGUCUGUAACUGACGCUGAGGAGCGAAAGCGUGGGGAGCGAACAGGAUUAGAUACCCCUGUAGUCCCUGUCUCUUAUAC
RNAcentral lists this ribosomal RNA (301 nucleotides) under uncultured bacterium. RNAcentral's name for it is "partial 16S ribosomal RNA". It matches the Rfam family "Bacterial small subunit ribosomal RNA", at positions 509 to 807 of the family's 1533-position model. The record is from RNAcentral.